CUUGGUCAUUUAGAGGAAGUAAAAGUCGUAACAAGGUCUCCGUUGGUGAACCAGCGGAGGGAUCAUUACCGAGUUAUUACUCCAAACCCUUUGUGAACCUUACCAUUUUGUUGCUCGGCGCACCGCGGGCCGCGGCUUCGGCCCGUCCCGCAGCGCGCCAGAGGACCCAACUCUUCAAUUUAUAGCGUACCUUCUGAUUUACAAAACAAACAAGUUAAAACUUUCAACAACGGAUCUCUUGGUUCUGGCAUCGAUGAAGAACGCAGCGAAAUGCGAUAAGUAAUGUGAAUUGCAGAAUUCAGUGAAUCAUCGAAUCUUUGAACGCACCUUGCGCCCAUCAGUAUUCUGUUGGGCAUGCCUGUUCGAGCGUCAUUUCCACCCUCAAGCCCUGGCUGCUUGGUGUUGGGGUGCUCUACAGCCUGCUGUAGGCCCCAAAAAUCAGUGGCGGUCUCACUGGGACUCCGAGCGUAGUAGAUUUCUCUCGCUUAGGGGCGACCGGUGGGUUUCCAGCCGUUAAAACCCCCAAAUUUUAAAAGGUUGACCUCGGAUCAGGUAGGAAUACCCGCUGAACUUAAGCAUAUCAAUAAGCGGAGGA
Molecule: ribosomal RNA, 595 nt
Filed under: uncultured fungus
Lineage: Eukaryota; Fungi
Description: eukaryotic LSU rRNA
Rfam family: 5.8S ribosomal RNA (bases 219-372)
Source: RNAcentral